AGGGGUUUUUGGUGAGAGGAACUUGAGAUUGAGAGCGAAAGAGAGAUGCUGAGGGUGAGCGACGAGAGCGAUUGAGAGAGAUUUCUUCGAGUUUGGGAGCGAGUUCCUGAGAAGAGAGAGCGAGCUUGCAGGGAGCGUGAGAUGGGGAGGGAACGAGUCUGUAUCUUUUUCAAUUUAUUUUAUUUUUUUCUUUUCUUUAAAUCAUUUUAAAUAGGAUAGUUUUUUUCAGAAACCUUUAGAUUUUGUUUAAACUUCCUAAGUAGCUAAUAAGUGUUUCCAUGUUUCCAAUUCAUAUUCCCUGGAAAAACCCAACAGCCAGGCGGCUGGGUUUAACUACUGGUAGUCUAACAGACUUUUUUUUUAUUUCAGUUUUUAUUUCUAAUGUUUAAUCUAUUUUGGUUUAUAUAUUUAAGGUAGCAUCAAAAUAAUAAAUAACCAUGAAUGGCUUAGUGGAGAGAGGGUAGUUGCAUAAUAUUAGGUGGGGAGGGUUCAAUACUCAUGUGUGUUGCUUUUUGCUUGUUAUUUGAUUUUAUCUUCCUUUAGCAUUUUUUAUUCUUUUAGUAUGUUGAUUAAUAUCUUUUUAUGUUUAUUAUACUCAUGAUUUCAUUUGUUAAUAAUGCAUAGUUGUUGUAUUUUAGUUUAGUUCAAAACCAUUUUUUUAAACUAUAAAAAUCAUACUUUUCUCGAUUUAAUAUCGAGCCCAUUUUUUACACCCUUGUAAGUCGAUUGCUUUUUAAGCAUCGCCAUCGACCUCACAUAGCUUACUCUUGGGCUUUCUUACAAUGAGCCGGUUCCUUUGCACUUACACUCAUACAUUGUUUAAUGCUUUAUUAUUUCAUUCUUUGAUUAUUUGAUUCGAUUAUAUACUUGUUUAUAUCUUACUUGUUUGAUUAACUGUGGCCUACUUGUAUGGUGUUUGAG
Molecule: long non-coding RNA, 921 nt
Filed under: Lathyrus oleraceus (garden pea)
Lineage: Eukaryota; Viridiplantae; Streptophyta; Magnoliopsida; Fabales; Fabaceae
Description: Pisum sativum (pea) long non-coding RNA (PSAT_LNC006047)
Source: RNAcentral